Molecule: long non-coding RNA, 1808 nt
Filed under: Salmo trutta (river trout)
Lineage: Eukaryota; Metazoa; Chordata; Actinopteri; Salmoniformes; Salmonidae
Description: lncRNA (ENSSTUG00000013793.1)
Source: RNAcentral
GUUCUUGAAUGCAUUAAACAUAUUAUAACGUAUGUAGGUUCUGUAUGAAUGUGCGUUGUUCUAUGUUGCAGUUCCCGCCUGUCAACCCACACCAGUCUACUGGCCAUCAUCAUCUCCUGGCUGGUACUGUAAGUAUACACUAAGGCUCUAAAGCACCUCUUGAAUAUACUGUACAAUAUCAGUGGUGUUUGUUUUUCUGUAUACUGCAUGUCACUCUUCUAUUGCAGUAUAAUACAGUCCUGUACAUGUCCAGUGUAAUAUAUCCUUCUCAAACUUGACUGAAAAGGUGUUGAUUCUAUUUAUCUUCCAGUGCAUCAUAUAUUCACAGACAAUCCAUUUCCACCUACACCCAUGACAGGUAUUUGGUAUUAUUUUAAUUCUUGCCAAUCAGGCAUUUGAUGUCAACAUUAACAAUAUUUAAACGUGCCUGACAUUUUGUUUUGCAGAGCUCUGUGUUGUUAUUUGGGCGAGGAGUUUCUCCUGACCAUAUGACUAGACCAGGAAAACUUCCAGGCCCUAGUUACUAGGGCUGAGAGUUAUUUGCUUCAUAGCCUCUGUUUACUGUAUGUCCUUACGUCCUUAUGUCUGGUGCUUCUCACCUCAAAGAUCUUGUGAUUACAAAAAAUACAUGUAAAAGCCCUUUAUUAUUUUCAAUUACAUUCUGUCACAUGAAUUCGUUUUUGUGCACCAUAUUUUAUAACUUCAGUACCAUUUAAGUACAGUACAUGGUUACCAAGUACGCAAUGAAAAGGUGUUGUACAUAGAAGUCUAACUGAUCUGUUUUCUUGCUGUUUAACAUUAUUUAACAUCCCUGGUUUAGUCCCGUGUUGCGCACCACCUCAGCUACUUUUGUCUCCUUGUCGUCACGUACAAUUUUAACUAGCUAACCUGUUUGAUCUUAUCUAGAGUAACAUAAUACAUGAUGAGAUAUGUCAUCUGGGUCCAUUUGAAUUUACAACUUUUUUUCAUCAUCUCCACUGCCCAUUCCAACAGCUCAUCCAGCGCAGCCGUUUUAUCAAGCUCCUCCAGCUUAUCAAGUUUAUCAAGCUCCUCCAAUUUAUCAAGCUCCUCCAGUUCAACCAGCACCAGCUCAACCAGCUCAUCCAACAGCUCCAGUUCAACCAGCUCAACCAGCACCAGCUCAACCAACAGCUCCAGUUCAACCAGCUGAACCAGUACCUGGACCUGCACCAGCUCCAUCGACUCAAGAACCACAGGCUCCCAAAGAAAAGGCUGCCUCCACAAAGAAGGUUCCAAAGGAAAAGACCAAGGCAGCUGCCUCAAAGACGGAGUCUCCUAAAGGAAAAGUUAAGAAGCAAGAACUUGUGGUGUCCAACGGGAAGGUCAAACCAGCUGUUGUAAAGAAAGAAGCUGUUGUCUCUGAAGAAAAGACAAAACCUUCCACAACAAAGAAAGAUCCUGUGGAAAAAGGCAAGGACAAAAUAACUCCUACAAAGAAAGAGCCUGCAAUCUCCAAAGAAAAAGUCAAGGCAACCACUAGCAAGACAACCACACCCACUACCAAGAAAGUUGUUUUAGAACCCGAGCCCCCUAAAGAAAAAACCACUCCAAGAGUCCCCACUAUGAGGAAAGGUAACCACACAAAUGUAGUGGUGCCAAUGGUCAAAGCCACCGCAAGAGUUGUCGCUAUAAGACCCAUAUCUACAAAAAAAGGUAACCACACAGCAAUUGAAAUGUUUUUCACACUAAAUACAGAUUCUUUUCAGUUGGAUACAAUGAAAAUUGGAAUCAGGCUGUCUAACUGUUCUCACACUUUUAGGUCCUGCGAUGAAGGAGAAGCUAACUAA